AUGAGGGUAGUAGAAGGUAAUACAUUGGAUUUAGGUUCCAGGAGUGGAAGGUUUCCCCCUCCCCCCUAUA
RNAcentral lists this transfer RNA (70 nucleotides) under Fulvia mutica. RNAcentral describes it as "tRNA-Leu". It matches the Rfam family "tRNA". From Rfam's summary of the family: Transfer RNA (tRNA) molecules are approximately 80 nucleotides in length. Their secondary structure includes four short double-helical elements and three loops (D, anti-codon, and T loops). The record is from RNAcentral. Lineage: Eukaryota; Metazoa; Mollusca; Bivalvia; Cardiida; Cardiidae.